This 83-nucleotide ribosomal RNA is filed under the name Caerostris darwini. The record is from RNAcentral. Lineage: Eukaryota; Metazoa; Arthropoda; Arachnida; Araneae; Araneidae.
GCUCUCGUUAGAUCAUCGAAGUUAAGCAUCAUUGGGCGCGGUCAGUACUUAGGUGGGUGACCAUCUGGGAACACUGCGUGCGG